Molecule: ribosomal RNA, 405 nt
Filed under: uncultured Rhizobium sp.
Lineage: Bacteria; Pseudomonadati; Pseudomonadota; Alphaproteobacteria; Hyphomicrobiales; Rhizobiaceae
Description: bacterial SSU rRNA
Rfam family: Bacterial small subunit ribosomal RNA
Source: RNAcentral
AACGAACGCUGGUGGCAGGCUUAACACAUGCAAGUCGAGCGCCCCGCAAGGGGAGCGGCAGACGGGUGAGUAACGCGUGGGAAUCUACCUUUUGCUACGGAAUAACGCAGGGAAACUUGUGCUAAUACCGUAUGUGUCCUUCGGGAGAAAGAUUUAUCGGCAAGAGAUGAGCCCGCGUUGGAUUAGCUAGUUGGUGGGGUAAAGGCCUACCAAGGCGACGAUCCAUAGCUGGUCUGAGAGGAUGAUCAGCCACAUUGGGACUGAGACACGGCCCAAACUCCUACGGGAGGCAGCAGUGGGGAAUAUUGGACAAUGGGCGCAAGCCUGAUCCAGCCAAGCCGCGUGAGUGAUGAAGGCCCUAGGGUUGUAAAGCUCUUUCACCGGAGAAGAUAANGACGGNNUCCG